Molecule: ribosomal RNA, 376 nt
Filed under: uncultured Legionella sp.
Lineage: Bacteria; Pseudomonadati; Pseudomonadota; Gammaproteobacteria; Legionellales; Legionellaceae
Description: bacterial SSU rRNA
Rfam family: Bacterial small subunit ribosomal RNA
Source: RNAcentral
GUAGCUGGUCUGAGAGGAUGACCAGCCACACUGGAACUGAGACACGGUCCAGACUCCUACGGGAGGCAGCAGUGGGGAAUAUUGGACAAUGGGGGCAACCCUGAUCCAGCAAUGCCGCGUGUGUGAAGAAGGCCUGAGGGUUGUAAAGCACUUUCAGUGGGGAGGAGGAUUGAUAGGUUAAGAGCUAAUUAAUUGGACGUUACCCACAGAAGAAGCACCGGCUAACUCCGUGCCAGCAGCCGCGGUAAUACGGAGGGUGCRAGCGUUAAUCGGAAUUACUGGGCGUAAAGGGUGCGUAGGUGGUUGAWUAAGUUAUCUGUGAAAUCCCUGGGCUUAACCUGGGCAGGUCAGAUAAAACUGUUUGACUCGAGUAUGG